This is a non-coding RNA of Paramuricea clavata, 283 nucleotides long. The record is from the annotation of a GenBank genome assembly. Lineage: Eukaryota; Metazoa; Cnidaria; Anthozoa; Malacalcyonacea; Plexauridae.
CCUAAAUUUUACCUCCAGUGGUUGGAAUGUCUGAUAAAUAAAUGUUUAACAUAAUAAAUGUUCAAAAUAUUGCGAGUUUGGUCUUUGAAUAAAGUUUUCUUGUUUAGCUUCAUUUUUAGUUAUAUUAUUUAUUUCACAUAUGGCUGUUAUAGGUUUGCAUGAGUAUUCUGCAAUCACGUAAUUCAUUGACUUGCAAUCAGGUUGGUAGAAUCUACACAUAUCACAACAUUCUUCCAGAGAAUUGACGAAACAUUCUUCUACCAUGUGACCAACUAAAGCACCU